CGGACGGGUGAGUAACACGUGGAUAACCUACCUAUAAGACUGGGAUAACUUCGGGAAACCGGAGCUAAUACCGGAUAAUAUAUUGAACCGCAUGGUUCAAUAGUGAAAGACGGUUUUGCUGUCACUUAUAGAUGGAUCCGCGCCGCAUUAGCUAGUUGGUAAGGUAACGGCUUACCAAGGCAGCGAUGCGUAGCCGACCUGAGAGGGUGAUCGGCCACACUGGAACUGAGACACGGUCCAGACUCCUACGGGAGGCAGCAGCC
This 263-nucleotide ribosomal RNA is filed under the name uncultured Staphylococcus sp. RNAcentral's name for it is "partial 16S ribosomal RNA". It matches the Rfam family "Bacterial small subunit ribosomal RNA", at positions 99 to 355 of the family's 1533-position model. Lineage: Bacteria; Bacillati; Bacillota; Bacilli; Caryophanales; Staphylococcaceae. The record is from RNAcentral.